Molecule: transfer RNA, 72 nt
Filed under: Phrynosoma platyrhinos (Desert horned lizard)
Lineage: Eukaryota; Metazoa; Chordata; Lepidosauria; Squamata; Phrynosomatidae
Description: tRNA-OTHER
Source: RNAcentral
GCCUGUGUGGUGUAGUGGUUUGAGUGUUGGACUAGGAUUCUGGAGGCCAGGGUUCAAAUCCCUACUCAGCCA